GACGAACGCUGGCGGCGUGCCUAACACAUGCAAGUCGAGCGGGGUAGCCGGAAGGUGUAGCGAUACAGCGGAGGGGUACCUAGCGGCGAACGGGUGAGUAACGCGUGGGCAAUCUGCCCCCGGGGGCGGGAUAACAGACCGAAAGGCCUGCUAAUACCGCAUGAAGCCGUCCUAUCGCAUGAUAAGACGGUAAAAGGGGAAACCCGCCUGGGGAGGAGCCCGCGUCCCAUUAGCUAGUUGGUGGUGUAAAGGACCACCAAGGCGAUGAUGGGUAGCCGGCCUGAGAGGGUGAACGGCCACAUUGGGACUGAGACACGGCCCAGACUCCUACGGGGGGCAGCAGUGAGGGAUUUUCGGCAAUGGGCGGAAGCCUGAACCAGCCAUGCCGCGUGCAGGAUGACGGCCCUACGGGUUGUAAACUGCUUUUCCCCGGGGCGAACUAACCCCCUCGCGAGGGGGAGUGGCGGGUACCGGGGAGUAAGGAGUCGGCUAACUCCGUGCCAGCAGCCGCGUAACGUGUAGUCGU
Molecule: ribosomal RNA, 526 nt
Filed under: uncultured bacterium
Lineage: Bacteria
Description: bacterial SSU rRNA
Rfam family: Bacterial small subunit ribosomal RNA
Source: RNAcentral